GAUGAACGCUAGCGGCAGGCUUAAUACAUGCAAGUCGAGGGGUAACAGGGGAGCUUGCUCUUGCUGACGACCGGCGUACGGGUGCGUAACACGUAUGCAACCUACCUAUUACAGAGGGAUAAUCUGAAGAAAUUUGGUCUAAUACCUCAUAGUAUUUUUGAGAGGCAUCUUUCAAGAAUUAAAGAUUGGAGAGAUUGGUAAUAGAUGGGCAUGCGUUCCAUUAGCUAGUUGGUAAGGUGAUUGCUUACCAAGGCGACUAUGGAUAGGGGCUCUGAGAGGAUUGUCCCCCACACUGGUACUGAGACACGGACCAGACUCCUACGGGAGGCAGCAGUAGGGAAUAUUGGGCAAUGGUCGGAAGACUGACCCAGCCAUGCCGCGUGCAGGAAGACGGCCUUAUGGGCUGUAAACUGCUUUUAUACGGGACUAAUAGGGGCUACGUGUAGUUCUAUGCAGGUACCGUAAGAAUAAGGAUCGGCUAACUCCGUGCCAGCAGCCGCGGUAAUACGGAGGAUCCGAGCGUUAUCCGGAUUUAUUGGGUUUAAAGGGUGCGCAGGCGGAUUAAUAAGUCAGUGGUGAAAACAUUCAGCUUAACUGAGUACGUGCCAAUGAUACUGUUAGUCUUGAUUUUAGUAGGCGUAGGCGGAAUAUGUCAAGUAGCGGUGAAAUGCGUAGAUAUGACAUAGAACACCGUUCGGGAAGCCGGCUUACGAUAUUAUAAAUGACGCUGAGGCAC
Molecule: ribosomal RNA, 736 nt
Filed under: uncultured bacterium
Lineage: Bacteria
Description: bacterial SSU rRNA
Rfam family: Bacterial small subunit ribosomal RNA
Source: RNAcentral